UACGUAGGGGGCAAGCGUUGUCCGGAUUUAUUGGGCGUAAAGAGCGUGUAGGCGGCUUGGUAGGUCCGCUGUGAAAACUCGAGGCUCAACCUCGAGAUGUCGGCGGAAACCACUUGGCUAGAGUCCGGAAGAGGAGAGUGGAAUUCCCGGUGUAGCGGUGAAAUGCGCAGAUAUCGGGAAGAACACCUAUGGCGAAGGCGGCCCCCUGGUUGGAUACUGACGCUGAGACGCGAAAGCGUGGGGAGCAAACAGG
Molecule: ribosomal RNA, 253 nt
Filed under: uncultured bacterium
Lineage: Bacteria
Description: partial 16S ribosomal RNA
Rfam family: Bacterial small subunit ribosomal RNA
Source: RNAcentral